GCCUCUGUAGUAUAUCGGCUAGUACGCAACCCUGUCGCGGUUGAGGGCCGGGUUCGACUCCCGGCAGGGGCG
Molecule: transfer RNA, 72 nt
Filed under: Nanobdellota archaeon
Lineage: Archaea; Nanobdellati; Nanobdellota
Description: tRNA-Asp
Rfam family: tRNA
About the family: Transfer RNA (tRNA) molecules are approximately 80 nucleotides in length. Their secondary structure includes four short double-helical elements and three loops (D, anti-codon, and T loops).
Source: RNAcentral